AGAGUUUGAUCAUGGCUCAGAAUCAACGCUGGCGGCGUGCCUAACACAUGCAAGUCGAACGGGAAAGCACCCUUCGGGGUGCGAGUAAAGUGGCGAACGGGUGAGUAACGCGUGGGUGAUCCACCCUUUGGAGGGGGAUAACCCGGGGAAACCCGGGCUAAUACCGCAUAAGCCUUAUUUUGUAAGUGAGAUAAGGGAAAGUCUUCGGGUGCCGAAGGAGGAGCCCGCGUCCGAUUAGCUAGUUGGUGAGGUAAGAGCUCACCAAGGCGACGAUCGGUAGCCGGUCUGAGAGGACGGACGGUCACACUGGGACUGAGACACGGCCCAGACUCCUACGGGAGGCAGCAGUGGGGAAUUUUGGGCAAUGGGCGGAAGCCUGACCAGCAACGCCGCGUGGAGGAUGAAGGUUUUCGGAUCGUAAACUCCUGUCUAGAGGGACGGAGUAAGUGACGGUACCUCUGGAGGAAGCCCCGGCUAACUCCGUGCCAGCAGCCGCGGUAAUACGGGGGGGGCGAGCGUUGUUCGGAAUUACUGGGCGUAAAGGGCGCGUAGGCGGUUUCGGAAGUCAUGGGUGAAAGUCCUCGGCUCAACCGAGGGAUUGCCUGUGAAACCACGGGACUGGAGUGCUGGAGAGGGAAGUGGAAUUCCCAGUGUAGCGGUGAAAUGCGUAGAUAUUGGGAGGAACACCUGUGGCGAAGGCGGCUUCCUGGACAGACACUGACGCUGAGGCGCGAAAGCCAGGGGAGCAAACGGGAUUAGAUACCCCGGUAGUCCUGGCUGUAAACGAUGAACACUUGGUGUGGGGGGUGAUGAAAGUCCCUCUGUGCCGGAGAGAACUCAUUAAGUGUUCCGCCUGGGGAGUACGGCCGCAAGGCUGAAACUCAAAGGAAUUGACGGGGGCCCGCACAAGCGGUGGAGCAUGUGGUUUAAUUCGACGCAACGCGAAGAACCUUACCGGGGUUUGAACUGCACCUGAGCGAUCUAGAGAUGGAGAGGUUCCCUUCGGGGACAGGUGCAGAGGUGCUGCAUGGCUGUCGUCAGCUCGUGUCGUGAGAUGUUGGGUUAAGUCCCGCAACGAGCGCAACCCUUGUCUGUAGUUGCCAUCAGGUAAAGCUGGGCACUCUACGGAGACUGUCGGCGAGAAGCCGGAGGAAGGUGGGGAUGACGUCAAGUCCUCAUGGCCUUUAUGUCCCGGGCUACACACGUGCUACAAUGGGCGGUACAGAGGGCAGCGACCCUGUGAAGGCAAGCGAAUCCCAGAAAACCGCUCUCAGUUCGGAUUGCAGUCUGCAACUCGACUGCAUGAAGUUGGAAUCGCUAGUAAUCGCGGAUCAGAACGCCGCGGUGAAUACGUUCCCGGGCCUUGUACACACCGCCCGUCACAUCACGAAAGUGGGCUGUACUAGAAGCCGCCGGCCUAACCUUAGGGAAGGAGGCGUCGACGGUAUGGCUCAUGAUUGGGGUGAAGUCGUAACAAGGUA
RNAcentral lists this ribosomal RNA (1481 nucleotides) under metagenome. Its description in RNAcentral is "bacterial SSU rRNA". It matches the Rfam family "Bacterial small subunit ribosomal RNA". The record is from RNAcentral.